AGCCUAGUGGUUAAGGCUAUGGAUCGCCAAUCCAGAGACGGCGGGUUCGAUUCCCGU
Non-coding RNA from Aedes albopictus (Asian tiger mosquito), 57 nucleotides. The record is from Rfam. Lineage: Eukaryota; Metazoa; Arthropoda; Insecta; Diptera; Culicidae.